Molecule: transfer RNA, 57 nt
Filed under: Metastrongylus salmi
Lineage: Eukaryota; Metazoa; Nematoda; Chromadorea; Rhabditida; Metastrongylidae
Description: tRNA-Ser
Source: RNAcentral
GAUUAGUGAGUUUUUUGAGUCUUCUAAACUUGAUUGAGGUUUAAGCCUACUCAUUUG